RNAcentral lists this long non-coding RNA (1534 nucleotides) under Heterocephalus glaber (naked mole-rat). RNAcentral's name for it is "lncRNA (ENSHGLG00100051250.1)". The record is from RNAcentral. Lineage: Eukaryota; Metazoa; Chordata; Mammalia; Rodentia; Bathyergidae.
GGGACGUCCCCCUCCUCCCUGCUUCCCUUUGCUCCCGGACUCCCAGGGACUUCUGGAAGAUUCCUGGACACCCCCACCCGCGCCCCAGGUCCGCAGCUGCUGCACAAGCCACACUUCCCACACUGCCUGUGGGUGACUCCAUGGAUACGGAAUGUGCAGGAGAAAGAGCCAGGCAUGCGGAAGCCGAGUGGGAGACCGUCUGGGGCAUAUCUGCAUUUCCGGGGUGAUGAAGGCUCUGCGAGCAGGCAGCGGGGAGCUUAUGGAGCCUCAUGAACAGAGUGGAAAAGCUCUAAGUUUCACACUGUAAAAGGAUAAACGUUAUGUAUCCUGUGUUUCCUUAAAACUGUUCUAUAAACUAUGUAAUCCUAUGGAUAUGCUUGUAUAAGUAUUCAGAGAUGGAAAUUAAUAUUACACACCAAUUGCUAUUUAUAAAAAAGCCUAGAAACAAAAUACCCACAAAUAAUAUCUGCACAGAUAAAUUAUAGUGUAUUCACCAAAAAUGAAAUGUUUCAAGGCUGUUAAAAGAGUGAAAUUAAUGCAUGCUUGGUAAUAUUGAAAAAUUUCAAUAUAAUACACUAAAUAAAAUUAUUUUAGCAUAUUUUCUACUAAUUCUAAUGAACACAUCAAUUGUAAGUUGUUUUAUAGUAAAUAAUUAUUUUAUGACUUUGGUUUGUAUGUUUCCCAACUCUGAUCAGGCCUGGUAAAUUUAUUAGGAUAACAACAUAUGGAAUUUCAUUCUUUGGCUCUGAAUUUUACUGUAUUCCUUUAAAUACUAUUGACCUUUGUUCGGGGACCCACAUUUUUGGAAAUGGAUUCUGUCGGUUCUUACUUUUAAAGCGCUCUCGCGCGCGUGCGCGUGCGUGCGUGCGUGCGUGUGUGUGUGUGUGUACUGCUUACCACUCUAAGCCUAAGUCUCCCAUUACCAAGGGGAGACAGCCCCCCAUGCACCGCAGCACAUCCCAGGGGAGCUGAGCUGCCAGCCUGGCCCCUGGCCUCGGGCACUGCCCUGGCCCCUGUGAGUGUCCAUCACCCUCACCGCUCCUCUCUCCUGUCUCCAGCCCUGGCCAGUUUCCUCCCUCCUCUGCUCCUCAGUGAUCCGCUGAGCUGAGCCCAGCUCCUGCCCCGCGCAGCUCUGGUCCUCUGAUGUGGGCACUGCCAGCCACAGCUUUCUCUCCUCAUCUCCUCAGUCAGGGGGCCUCUGCCUCAGUUUACAGCCCUGAGCCGUGGCUGGAAAUGCUUUCCAGGCAGGCAGCGGGGAAUCAUGGACAUCAGCUGCAGCAGUGCCUGAUGCCAGGGGCCCGGACUCCUGGAAGGAUACCUGUUAUCAGCUGCCUGGUACAAAUAUCAUACAAAACGUUUUGUGUAUUUUCCUGUGUCUUUAUUCUUUCAGACGAGGGGACAGUGCAACAUUUAUGUGAUCACAGUCUGAGCACUUAUUUGUGUGUGCACUUAUUUUAAGGCCGGUUCUUCCCUUGCCCAGGCUGGCCUUGGUCUGAUGAUCCAGCACCCUCAGCUGUGGAGCUGCUGCCAUGCC